UGGUUUGCAUGGAGAAACUACACUAUAUUUGGAGAUCAAAAAACUGGCAGAUGAGUUCACUAACUCAUCAGUGAUUGGAUUGGAUUUGUAGCUCAUUUCGAGUAAAGGGUUUGUGUUGGAGGAUGUGAAAGGUCCGAAUUAUGAUGUGGCUUCCCUUGCAGCAGCCAUAACUAAUGGAGAACAACAGAGUGAUGCAGCUGAGGUAUAA
Molecule: long non-coding RNA, 208 nt
Filed under: Carica papaya (papaya)
Lineage: Eukaryota; Viridiplantae; Streptophyta; Magnoliopsida; Brassicales; Caricaceae
Description: long non-coding RNA (CPAP_LNC015504)
Source: RNAcentral